AAACCGUUCAGGGGUAAACCUGAGGAACCUGAAAGAUCGAAUGGGGAGAUUCAUCGUCAGCGACGCUGGCCUCGCGGUGGUGCGCGAUACCCUAAACCUUUGCGUUUCGAGGUACGCCAUCGCCGGUGUUACGUCCGGUGUCGUCGUCGUGCACUUCUCCCCUAGUAGAACGUCGCGACCCGUUGGGUGCCGGUCUAAGACACGGAAAGGUAGACUGUCGCGUCGCGGUAAAACGUGUACGCGGUCAGACCUCCGAACGUUCGGCCGGCUGCCCGGCGGUACUCGCACGGUAUUUGGCCGCAUUUGAAUUUGCGUCGGGCCCGCCGCAAGCUCGGUUCAGCGUAUCCGGAGGUUACGGACCUAGUGCCGUCCCCGCGCUUAACCAGCUGUUGCCAGUCGGUGUCCUCUGACGGGCCAGAAUAAAUAAAAUACCGGUCAGCGGCGCUACUGCUUUGGGUACCCUCAGGACCCGUCUUGAAACACGGACCAAGGAGUCUAACAUGUGCGCGAGUCAUUGGGACAGAGAAGCCUAAAGGCGCAAUGAAAGUGAAGGUCGACCUCGCGUCGAUCGAGGGAGGAUGGGCCGCGUCACGGCGCGGCCUCGCACUCCCGGGGCGUCUCGUUCUCAUUGCGAGAAGAGGCGCACCCAGAGCGUACACGUUGGGACCCGAAAGAUGGUGAACUAUGCCUGGUCAGGACGAAGUCAGGGGAAACCCUGAUGGAGGUCCGUAGCGAUUCUGACGUGCAAAUCGAUCGUCGGAACUGGGUAUAGGGGCGAAAGACUAAUCGA
RNAcentral lists this ribosomal RNA (790 nucleotides) under Eustenogaster calyptodoma. RNAcentral's name for it is "eukaryotic LSU rRNA". It matches the Rfam family "Eukaryotic large subunit ribosomal RNA", at positions 402 to 938 of the family's 3401-position model. Lineage: Eukaryota; Metazoa; Arthropoda; Insecta; Hymenoptera; Vespidae. The record is from RNAcentral.